GGAGGGCCGGCGGGCUUUGUUGCUCUGCUCGCGAUUGCACCUACCUGGAGCUCCGCGGGCGCCCGAUUAGCGCCUGAAUGGAGGUGAUGUCACGGUGAUGCGGGCGCCGGCCCCGCCCCGCCCAGAGAAAGGAGCCGAGCCCCGGAGAGGCCGGCGCGAGAACCAGCUCCCGGGUCUCGGGGAGGCGCAGGCCCUGCGCCCCAAUCCCCCGACCGGGCCCCGCCCCCGCGCGCUGUGCCGAGUCGCUCCCACCCCGCCCCCGCCCCGCCUGGGGCUGGAGGUGGCCCCAGACGCUGCGCCGGAGCCCGGCCGGCGGCGCGUCCCAGGGACCCACCCGGAGCCUGGCCUGGGAGCCAGCAUGGCCAUCCACAAAGCCUUGCUGACGUGCCUAGGACUGCGCCUCCUCCUAUUCCCAGGGGCGCAGGCCCAGGACCAUGCCCAUGCCCCACCUGGCUGUAGCCCGGACCUCAACCCCCUCUACUACAACCUGUGUGACCGCUCAGGGGUUUGGGGCAUCAUCUUGGAGGCAGUGGCUGGGGCCGGUGUUGUCACCACUUUCGUCCUCACCAUCAUCCUUGUGGCCAGCCUCCCCUUUGUGCAGGACACCAAGAAGCGGAGCCUUCUGGGGACUCAGGUGUUCUUCCUGCUGGGGACCCUGGGCCUCUUCUGCCUGGUCUUUGCCUGCGUGGUGAAGCCUGACUUUGCCACCUGUGCCUCGCGGCGGUUCCUCUUCGGGGUCCUGUUUGCCAUCUGCUUCUCCUGCCUGGUAGCCCAUGUCUUGGCCCUUAAUUUCCUAGCCCGGAAGAACCAUGGUCCCCGGGGUUGGGUCCUCUUCACCGUGGCUCUGCUGCUGACCCUUGUGGAGGUGAUCAUCAACACGGAGUGGCUGAUCAUUACGCUGGUCCGCGGAGGUGCUGAGGGUGGUCCUCCGGGUAACGACAGUGCUGGCUGGGCCCCGGCCUCGCCCUGUGCCAUUGCCAACAUGGACUUCGUCAUGGCACUCAUCUAUGUCAUGCUACUGCUGCUGGGGGCCUUCAUGGGGGCCUGGUCUGCCCUUUGUGGCCGCUUCAGGCGCUGGCGUAAACACGGGGUCUUUGUGUUGCUCACCGCGGCCACCUCCAUUGCCAUCUGGGUGGUGUGGAUCGUCAUGUACACCUACGGUAACAAGCAGCAUGAGAGUCCCACCUGGGAUGACCCCACGCUGGCCAUUGCCCUCGCCGCCAAUGCCUGGGCCUUUGUCCUCUUCUAUGUCAUCCCUGAGGUCUCCCACGUGACCAAGCCCAGCCCAGAACAAAGCUACCAGGGGGACAUCUACCCCACCCGGGGCGUGGGCUACGAGACCAUCCUGAAAGAGCAGAAAGGCCAGAGCAUGUUUGUGGAGAACAAGGCAUUCUCCAUGGAUGAGCCAGCCUCAGCUAAGAGACCGGUGUCACCAUACAGUGGGUACAAUGGGCAGCUGCUGACCAGUGUGUACCAGCCCACCGAGAUGGCCCUAAUGCACAAAGGCCCGUCCGAAGGAGCUUAUGACGUCAUCCUCCCACGGGCCACCGCCAACAGCCAGGUGAUGGGCAGUGCCAACUCAACCCUGAGGGCCGAAGACAUGUAUGCAGCUCAGAGCCACCCGGCGGCCACACCGCCGAAAGACGGCAAGAACUCUCAGGUCUUUAGAAACCCCUACGUGUGGGACUGAGUCUGCAGCCUGGAGGAGGCGGGCAGGUGUCGGGAGGCCCCUUGGGACCUGUCCUGGGUGAGGGACUCCCCCACCCAGGAGCCCCGUGCUCUCCCGUCCCCCUCCUCCACCCCCUUGCUGGUUCAGGGUGACACUCAGAGACACAAAGGCCCUUCCUAUCUGCCAUUGUUUGGGUGGGUGUCCCAGGUGCCCUCCACCCACUCCUCAGUGUUUGUGGAGUCGAGGAGCCAACGCUGGCUUCAUGCCAGGGUCUCCUGGCAGCUGUGCUCCAGUCAAAUAGUGUUCUUCUCGGGGUGGCAGCCGGUCGGCACCUACGUUCUCUGGAGUCUUCGGAGGCAUUCUGCAACCUUGAGAGAGUUGACAGGCACGUCUGUCCCGGGUCUUGCUCCUCUGUGAGGAACAAAGGCCCAGUCCCCGCAAAAUAAAACGAGAUGUUAGACGCCCUCUUCCCUGGACCGCACGUCAUCCUGAUGUCCUCACUCCUCUGUGUCCAGGCUGGGCAGGGCCCACCACCUUCCCCACCCUUGUCACUGGAGCUGGGAGGGACCAGAGGCCACUGGCCUGAAGCAAUGGACUGAGUGGGGAGCCCUGUGAAAGCCCGAGGCACGUGGCUGGGGCUCUAAGGCCUCUCCCCUUGCAGCCCAGCUCAGCCCCUCCUGGUCCCCAAGCGACUGAGGCCACAAGGAUCUGUCUGCAGACCCCCAGCCUGCCUCCAUCCCCCUCUGAUGCCCUCCCCGCAAUCAGAGCCCAUGUCCCGUGCUGUGGUUCUCCUCGUGGCCACCUUCAGAUGCCUUCCUGGCCACCCUUGGUGUCCAGCAUCAGCCGGUCCCACUCUGCACCUAGAUGAGUCUCCUCCAUGAGUCUUUGGAAUCAAGCCAUGGCCGAAGUUGGCUUUUGCCUUUCUCACCAGGGCCUCCUGCCACCACCUGGACCGCGGAAGGCCACUGAGCUGAGGCAGAGUCUGGGCCUCGGCCUGGGCAGACGCCGCUUGUCUUCAUGGUCUGUGGAUCCCAGAUCUGAGCCCCUCUGGUGCUUCACUCACCUGCCCGUUUGCUCCUCGAUCUCUUCACCACCUUCAGUGAAUUGGGUCCCAUCAAGACACAAGCUGGGGGUUGAGGUUUCAUUCUCAGGGACCAGUUGAGAGUCCUGGACCACAUGGAUUAGGGUUCUAGACCUCUCCCCGGACUGAGAUUUGUGGGACAUGGAUGCCCCUUAGACAAGUGGUAUCUAGGACUGAAGAUUGUGCCAUUUCCUAAUGUGCAGAAGUACAGGUUUCUACCUCACCUUGGUCACCCUGACAUGCUCCAGGGGGUCCUGAUGGACACCCAGGGAAGUGGGGGACAUCCUUUGGACCUGCAUGAUGCUGGCACGACGGACAGAUAUGGUGGGAGUGAGAUCACUGUAGCAUUGUCUCUGGUUUUAUCCUGUUUUGGGGUACCUGAUACCUGGAUCAUUCAAGGUACCCUCCCUAGGUGUGCGCUGGGGCUACAUACUCAGCCCAGCAUCACUUCCAGGAGCUGAGGUGGGGGCCAGGGUGGAAGCCAUGUCGGGGAGCUGGGCUGUGCCUGACAUGGCCCUACAUACAGUCCCACGGCUUUCCUUUGCCGCUGCCAUCUUCCACUCCCAGAAGCCUGUGGCUUUGUCACUGGGAUGUUUUUCCAGAGCUAAGUGGGGUGACCAGUCCCUACAGAGAGUAGGGCCGGGCCCACAAGUGUGCCGUCCCCCCAUCAUUCACAGCCAUCGUUCUGGGUUGCUCAGUUCCAUGAAUGGAGUAUUACCUCCCUCUGAUGGGGGAGGUCUGCACCUCAGACUUCCCCAUCUAGGUUAGUGGCCCCAAGAUCCCCUUAGGGUGAAUAAAGGCACUGUCUUUUCAAGGUGAUGGUCUCGUGCCACAGAGAGCAGCCUGCAGUGGGUAUGUGUGUGUGUAGCCCGAGUCCUCCCAAGAUCUGUGAGUUGGGCCCUGGGCAGGGCUGGGUCCCUAAAAGAUGGCAGGCCUGCGUCCCUAAAAGAUGGCAGGCCUGCCUGGUUUCAGGAAUACUCAACGGCCAUGCUUAGGCCAGUUUGGCCAAGUGCAAAAGAUAGAUGUGUUUUGAGGAGGAAAGCAGUACCUUCUCAGAAGACAUCCAGCUGCUUCACAAACAAGCCUCAAAAGGAAGAAAACAAGAAGAGGCUAGAACCUGCUGCAGGUGAUGCCAGGUUAACACCCUGGUAAAUCCCACACCCACUCCUGUAAAGUGUAGCCUGAAGCAUAGAGGUCGAGACUUCCUAAUGGCCCAGAAUUAAAUGACCUUAUUCUAAGUGUAAGAGAUUAAACUAC
Molecule: RNA transcript, 4007 nt
Organism: Manis pentadactyla (Chinese pangolin)
Lineage: Eukaryota; Metazoa; Chordata; Mammalia; Pholidota; Manidae
Gene: GPRC5C
Gene name: G protein-coupled receptor class C group 5 member C
Exons: 5
Source: RefSeq, a predicted model, not a curated record